GGGGAUAACACUUGGAAACAGGUGCUAAUACCGUAUAACAACCAAAACCACCUGGUUUUAGUUUAAAAGAUGGCUUCGGCUAUCACUUUAGGAUGGACCCGCGGCGUAUUAGCUUGUUGGUAAGGUAACGGCCUACCAAGGCAAUGAUACGUAGCCGACCUGAGAGGGUAAUCGGCCACAUUGGGACUGAGACACGGCCCAAACUCCUACGGGAGGCAGCAGUAGGGAAUCUUCCACAAUGGACGAAAGUCUGAUGGAGCAACGCCGCGUGAGUGAUGAAGGGUUUCGGCUCGUAAAACUCUGUUGUUGGAGAAGAACAGGUGUGAGAGUAACUGUUCACAUCUUGACGGUAUCCAACCAGAAAGCCACGGCUAACUACGUGCCAGCAGCCGCGGUAAUACGUAGGUGGCAAGCGUUGUCCGGAUUUAUUGGGCGUAAAGCGAGCGCAGGCGGUUUCUUAGGUCUGAUGUGAAAGCCUUCGGCUUAACCGGAGAAGUGCAUCGGAAACCAGGAGACUUGAGUGCAGAAGAGGACAGUGGAACUCCAUGUGUAGCGGUGAAAUGCGU
RNAcentral lists this ribosomal RNA (566 nucleotides) under uncultured bacterium. Its description in RNAcentral is "bacterial SSU rRNA". It matches the Rfam family "Bacterial small subunit ribosomal RNA", at positions 139 to 691 of the family's 1533-position model. The record is from RNAcentral.